This 325-nucleotide long non-coding RNA is filed under the name Nicotiana benthamiana. RNAcentral describes it as "long non-coding RNA (NBEN_LNC038435)". Lineage: Eukaryota; Viridiplantae; Streptophyta; Magnoliopsida; Solanales; Solanaceae. The record is from RNAcentral.
UUUGUUUUAUUAAAAAAAAAAAAAAAAAAAAAAAAAAAAAAAAAAAAAAAAAAAAAAAAAAAAAAAAAAAAAAAAAAAAAAAAAAAAAAAAAAAAAAAAAAAAAAAGCUACAACAACUUAAGUUCUAAAGCUGGACCUGGACAAAAACAAGAGAGAAAACGACAGCCAUUGCCAAAGAGCGUUGAUCUCCCUUGAAGAGAAAGGGAUCUGAACGUUAUUUUAAGAAAGAUGGAGAUGAUUUCUCAAAUCGUAGAGAAAAACCGAUGACCAUUCUCUCGUCUCUCUCGAUCGAGUAAAAACCACCUACCUAAACCUUCAUCAUCAU